AGCCCCUAGGAUAGAUGACUAUUGGGGGUGAAUUCUGCCCGGUGGAUAACUUAACGGCCGCAGUACACUGACUGUGCAAAGGUAGCAUAAUAAUUUGGCCUUUAAUUGAGGUCUUGUAUGAAUGAAAAUUUGUAAGGAAAUUGUCUUCUUUUCCUGUUUAUAGAAGUUGCUAAUUAGGUGAAAAAACCUAACAAUAAAUAAAUAAGACGAGAAGACCCUUUGAGCUUUGUUUAAAAUAAUCAGAGGUUAUUAAAAUUUUGUUGGGGCGGCAAGUAAGCAUCAUGUAAUAGUCAUAAACCUUACAUAUUUAAGUAUAAACAAGAAGUAGGUAUUCGAAUGAAAGAUUAAGCUACCAUAGGGAUAACAGCAUAAUCAUUUAUAUGGAUUGUGACCUCGAUGUUGGACUAGGGACUUUAUGGUGAGAAGCCAAAAAUGGUUGUUCUGUUCGAACACUGUCCCCU
Molecule: ribosomal RNA, 461 nt
Filed under: Gonaxis camerunensis
Lineage: Eukaryota; Metazoa; Mollusca; Gastropoda; Stylommatophora; Streptaxidae
Description: partial 16S ribosomal RNA
Rfam family: Archaeal large subunit ribosomal RNA
Source: RNAcentral